GGGUGUAAAGUGAGCGUAGGUGGGUUGAUAAGUCAGUGGUGAAAUCUUCGAGCUUAACUCGGAAACUGCCGUUGAUACUAUCAGUCUUGAAUAUUGUGGAGGUUAGCGGAAUAUGUCAUGUAGCGGUGAAAUGCUUAGAUAUGACAUAGAACACCAAUUGCGAAGGCAGCUGGCUACACAUAUAUUGACACUGAGGCUCGAAAGCGUGGGGAUCAAACAGGAUUAGAUACCCUGGUAGUCCACGCCCUAAACUAUGGAUACUCGACAUACGCGAUACACUGUGUGUGUCUGAGCGAAAGCAUUAAGUAUCCCACCUGGGAAGUACGACCGCAAGGUUGAAACU
This 343-nucleotide ribosomal RNA is filed under the name uncultured bacterium. RNAcentral's name for it is "bacterial SSU rRNA". It matches the Rfam family "Bacterial small subunit ribosomal RNA", at positions 556 to 901 of the family's 1533-position model. The record is from RNAcentral.